Molecule: small nuclear RNA, 165 nt
Filed under: Octodon degus (degu)
Lineage: Eukaryota; Metazoa; Chordata; Mammalia; Rodentia; Octodontidae
Description: U1 spliceosomal RNA (ENSODEG00000021052.1)
Rfam family: U1 spliceosomal RNA
About the family: U1 is a small nuclear RNA (snRNA) component of the spliceosome (involved in pre-mRNA splicing). Its 5' end forms complementary base pairs with the 5' splice junction, thus defining the 5' donor site of an intron.
Source: Rfam by way of RNAcentral
AUACUUACCUGGCAGGGGGAGAUACCAUGAUCACAAAGGUGGUUUUCCCCAGGCGAGGCUGAUACAUUGCACUCCAUAUGUGCUGACACCUUCGAUUGCCCCAAAUGUGGAAAACUCGACUGCAUAAUUUGUGGUAAUGAGGAACUGCGUUCUCACUCUGCCCUU